RNAcentral lists this ribosomal RNA (253 nucleotides) under uncultured bacterium. RNAcentral describes it as "partial 16S ribosomal RNA". It matches the Rfam family "Bacterial small subunit ribosomal RNA", at positions 524 to 776 of the family's 1533-position model. The record is from RNAcentral.
GACGUAGGUGGCGAACGUUAUCCGGAAUUAUUGGGCGUAAAGAGCUCGUAGGCGGUCUGUCGCGUCGGCUGUGAAAUCCCGGAGCUCAACUCCGGGUCUGCAGUCGAUACGGGCAAACUGGAGUACUGCAGGGGAGACUGGAAUUCCUGGUGUAGCGGUGAAAUGCGCAGAUAUCAGGAGGAACACCGGUGGCGAAGGCGGGUCUCUGGGCAGUAACUGACGCUGAGGAGCGAAAGCGUGGGGAGCGAACAGG